UACGGAGGGUGCAAGCGUUAAUCGGAAUUACUGGGCGUAAAGCGCGCGUAGGCGGUUUGUUAAGUCGGAUGUGAAGUCCCCGGGCUCAACCUGGGAAUGGCAUUCGAUACUGGCCGACUAGAGUACGAGAGAGGGAGGUAGAAUUCCACGUGUAGCGGUGAAAUGCGUAGAUAUGUGGAGGAAUACCGGUGGCGAAGGCGGCCUCCUGGCUCGAUACUGACGCUGAGGUGCGAAAGCGUGGGUAGCAAACAGGAUUAGAUACCCUGGUAGUCCACGCCGUAAACGAUGUCUACUAGCCGUUGGGAGACUUGAUUUCUUAGUGGCGCAGCUAACGCACUAAGUAGACCGCCUGGGGAGUACGGCCGCAAGGUUAAAACUCAAAUGAAUUGACGGGGGCCCGCACAAGCGGUGGAGCAUGUGGUUUAAUUCGAUGCAACGCGAAGAACCUUACCAGGUCUUGACAUCCUCGGAACUUGGCAGAGAUGCCUUGGUGCCUUCGGGAACCGAGAGACAGGUGCUGCACGGCUGUCGUCAGCUCGUGUCGUGAGAUGUUGGGUUAAGUCCCGUAACGAGCGCAACCCUUGUCCUUAGUUGCCAGCGCGUAAUGGCGGGAACUCUAAGGAGACUGCCGGUGACAAACCGGAGGAAGGUGGGGACGACGUCAAGUCAUCAUGGCCCUUACGACCUGGGCUACACACGUGCUACAAUGGAACGCACAGAGGGUUGCAACCUCGCGAGAGUGAGCCAAUCCCACAAAACGUUUCGUAGUCCGGAUCGGAGUCUGCAACUCGACUCCGUGAAGUCGGAAUCGCUAGUAAUCGCGGAUCAGAAUGCCGCGGUGAAUACGUUCCCGGGCCU
RNAcentral lists this ribosomal RNA (858 nucleotides) under uncultured bacterium. RNAcentral's name for it is "SSU rRNA". It matches the Rfam family "Bacterial small subunit ribosomal RNA", at positions 524 to 1381 of the family's 1533-position model. The record is from RNAcentral.